This 624-nucleotide ribosomal RNA is filed under the name uncultured archaeon. RNAcentral's name for it is "bacterial SSU rRNA". It matches the Rfam family "Archaeal small subunit ribosomal RNA", at positions 144 to 769 of the family's 1478-position model. The record is from RNAcentral.
GACUAAUACCGGAUAGAUCAGAGAAACUGGAAUGUUCUCUGGUUUAAAACUCCGGUGCCCAAGGAUGGGUCUGCGGCCUAUCAGGUAGUAGUGGGUGUAACGUACCUACUAGCCAGCGACGGGUAAGGGUUGUGAGAGCAAGAUCCCUGAGAUGGAUUCUGAGACAUGAAUCCAGGCCCUACGGGGUGCAGCAGGCGCGAAAACUUUACACUGCGGGAAACCGCGAUAAGGGGACCCCGAGUGCCAGCACCUAGUGCUGGCUGUCCUACUGUCUAAAUAACAGUGGUUAGCAAGGGCCGGGCAAGACCGGUGCCAGCCGCCGCGGUAACACCGGCGGCCCGAGUGGUAACCGUUUUUAUUGGGUUUAAAGGGUCCGUAGCCGGCUUACUAAGUCUCUUGGGAAAUCUGGCGGCUCAAUCGUCAGGCGGCCAAGAGAUACUGGUAGGCUUGGGACCGGGAGAGGUGGGAGGUACUCCAGGGGUAGGGGUGAAAUCUCGUAAUCCUUGGGGGACCACCGAUGGCGAAGGCAUCCCACCAGAACGGGUCCGACGGUGAGGGACGAAAGCUGGGGGCACGAACCGGAUUAGAUACCCGGGUAGUCCCAGCUGUAAACGAUGCUCGCUA